CUACGGGCGGCUGCAGUGAGGAAUAUUGCACAAUGGGGGAAACCCUGAUGCAGCAACGCCGCGUGGAGGAUGACGCAUUUCGGUGUGUAAACUCCUUUUAUGAGUCAAGAAAAUGACGGUAGCUCAUGAAUAAGCACCGGCUAACUCCGUGCCAGCAGCCGCGGUAAUACGGAGGGUGCAAGCGUUACUCGGAAUCACUGGGCGUAAAGGACGCGUAGGCGGGCUUGUAAGUCAGGUGUGAAAUCCUACAGCUUAACUGUAGAACUGCACUUGAAACUACGAGCCUAGAGUAUGGGAGGGGCAGAUGGAAUUAGUGGUGUAGGGGUAAAAUCCGUAGAUAUCACUAGGAAUACCGAAAGCGAAGGCGAUCUGCUGGAACAUUACUGACGCUAAGGCGUGAAAGCGUGGGGAGCAAACGGGAUUAGAUACCCUCGUAGUC
This 439-nucleotide ribosomal RNA is filed under the name uncultured bacterium. Its description in RNAcentral is "partial 16S ribosomal RNA". It matches the Rfam family "Bacterial small subunit ribosomal RNA", at positions 339 to 795 of the family's 1533-position model. The record is from RNAcentral.